This 427-nucleotide ribosomal RNA is filed under the name uncultured bacterium. Its description in RNAcentral is "bacterial SSU rRNA". It matches the Rfam family "Bacterial small subunit ribosomal RNA", at positions 355 to 774 of the family's 1533-position model. The record is from RNAcentral.
UAGGGAAUCUUCGGCAAUGGACGAAAGUCUGACCGAGCAACGCCGCGUGAGUGAAGAAGGUUUUCGGAUCGUAAAACUCUGUUGUUAGAGAAGAACGUUGUGUAGAGUGGAAAAUUACACAAGUGACGGUAUCUAACCAGAAAGUGACGGCUAACUACGUGCCAGCAGCCGCGGUAAUACGUAGGUCCCGAGCGUUGUCCGGAUUUAUUGGGCGUAAAGCGAGCGCAGGUGGUUUAAUAAGUCUGAUGUAAAAGGCAGUGGCUCAACCAUUGUGUGCAUUGGAAACUGUUAGACUUGGGUGCAGUAGAGGAGAGUGGAAUUCCAUGUGUAGCGGUUAAAUGCGUAGAUAUAUGGAGGAGCACCGGUGGCGAAAGCGGCUCUCUGGACUGUAACUGACACUGAGACUCGAGAGCGUGGGUAGCAAAAA